AGAGUUUGAUUAUGGCUCAGAUUGAACGCUGGCGGCAUGCCUUACACAUGCAAGUCGAACGGUAGAGUAGCAAUACUUGAGAGUGGCGAACGGGUGAGUAAUAUAUCGGAACGUGCCCAGUCGUGGGGGAUAACGCAGCGAAAGUUGCGCUAAUACCGCAUACGAUCUACGGAUGAAAGCGGGGGAUCGCAAGACCUCGCGCGAUUGGAGCGGCCGAUAUCAGAUUAGGUAGUUGGUGGGGUAAAAGCCCACCAAGCCGACGAUCUGUAGCUGGUCUGAGAGGACGACCAGCCACACUGGGACUGAGACACGGCCCAGACUCCUACGGGAGGCAGCAGUGGGGAAUUUUGGACAAUGGGCGCAAGCCUGAUCCAGCAAUGCCGCGUGCAGGAAGAAGGCCUUCGGGUUGUAAACUGCUUUUGUACGGAACGAAACGGCGCUUUCUAAUACAAGGCGCUAAUGACGGUACCGUAAGAAUAAGCACCGGCUAACUACGUGCCAGCAGCCGCGGUAAUACGUAGGGUGCAAGCGUUAAUCGGAAUUACUGGGCGUAAAGCGUGCGCAGGCGGUUAUGUAAGACAGUUGUGAAAUCCCCGGGCUCAACCU
This 606-nucleotide ribosomal RNA is filed under the name uncultured bacterium. RNAcentral describes it as "bacterial SSU rRNA". It matches the Rfam family "Bacterial small subunit ribosomal RNA", at positions 8 to 615 of the family's 1533-position model. The record is from RNAcentral.